ACGGGGUGCAGCAGGCGCGAAAUCUUCACAAUGUGCGAAAGCACGAUGAGGGGAUCCCAAGUGCUGGCACGUAAGUGUCAGCUGUUUCUUAGUCUAAAAAACUGAGAGAGUAAGGGCUGGGUAAGACGGGUGCCAGCCGCCGCGGUAAUACCUGCAGCUCAAGUAGUGGCCGCUAUUAUUGGGCCUAAAACGUCCGUAGCCUGGUUAGUAAAUGCUUGGGUAAAUUGUGUAGCUUAACUAUACGAAUACCGAGUAGACUGCUAAACUUGGGACCGGGAGAGGCUAGAGGUACUCCUAGGGUAGAGGUGAAAUUCUGUAAUCCUAGGGGGACCACCAGUGGCGAAGGCGUCCAGCUAGAACGGGUCUGACGGUGAGGGACGAAGCCCUGGGGCGCAAACCGGAUUAGAUACCCGGGUAGUCCAGGGUGUAAACGCUGCUUGCUUGAUGUUAGUUGGGCUCCGAGCCCAACUAGUGUCGGAGAGAAGUUGUUAAGCAAGCUGCCUGGGAAGUACGUCGCAAGAC
Molecule: ribosomal RNA, 522 nt
Filed under: uncultured archaeon
Lineage: Archaea
Description: bacterial SSU rRNA
Rfam family: Archaeal small subunit ribosomal RNA
Source: RNAcentral